RNAcentral lists this long non-coding RNA (203 nucleotides) under Phoenix dactylifera (date palm). RNAcentral's name for it is "long non-coding RNA (PDAC_LNC013009)". Lineage: Eukaryota; Viridiplantae; Streptophyta; Magnoliopsida; Arecales; Arecaceae. The record is from RNAcentral.
AAGCAAGGACUGUUUUUAGCAAGGUCUUCAAGAUCUACUACAUAGACGUUACCACGUCUAAUUCCUUUAAAUACUAAUCCAUUGUCAAUUGAGUUGGUUAUGAUGCAUAAAGAUGGCUUAAACAAAACAUCAAAACCUCUAUCACAUAAUUGACUAACGCUAAGUAGGUUAUGCUUAAGACCAUCUACAAAUCGUACAUUAUC